GUGCAGGAGAGCAGACGACAGGUGCACGAGGCAUGGCAUGCUCCUCAACCCGACUGAAGAGAAGUCAUGGAGAGCAAAGAUGCGCCUAUAUGAUGACUGGGAAAGCGUGAAGAGAAUGCAGAGACAUUUUGCAGGGAAGAGAAGAAGACGCUUUCACUAUAAGGAACAAAACAACACCCAUCGUGUUUCAUACAAGCGUUUCAGGAGGAGGAUUACCCGAAGGAGCAGCAGCGAGGGUCCCGCUGCCAGUACACCACUGACCACUGGGGGGCAGUGUGAGCCCAGCUGUGAGUUUGAUACAGUCUGUCAGAGGCUGGUGUUGGACUCUCCUCAACCGCAACACAAAGUCCUCCGGGGAAACCUUCGAGAGACAGCAAAAACAGAUGUGUCCACCUGCAUCGCUGCUGCACCCACAGUACGCACUGUCACUUCUCAUCUUGCCAAGGAAAAUGCCCCACAACAGGGUUGGGUGUGGAGAGAUGCAGUUAAAGAACAUGGGAUCUCUCAGCAGGCCGGUAAAGCCUCUGAUGACAAACUACAUGACUUGCAGCCGUUUGCUGUUCUGGAGAAAGCUUCUGUGAGUCUGCAAGUAAAGGCCGUGAUGAAGAUGGCAGCACCAACGCUGAUGAAUGACUAUUACUCAAAUGUACUCGACUGCAGUUGUAAUGGUGUGAUUGCAUUAGCACUGGGCUCUUCUGUUUACCUUUGGAACUCAGAAACUCAGGCUCUGUUGGGAUGUUUGUGCCCGAGUCCACAACCAGGACCUCUGCACCUUCAGACUCAGUCCGUCUCGUCUCUGUGCUGGAGCAGAGACGGCAGAUCUCUGUGCGUCGGGACCAGGCGAGGGGAGAUACAGUUGUGGGAUGUUGAACAGAACCAAAGGGUGAGGUGUCUCCCUUCACACCUGUCUGUGGUCAGAGCUCUUUCCUGGAAGCAGCAGUUACUCAGCAGCGGCUCUAUUCUUGGACGUAUCCAUCACUUUGACCCUCGGGUUCCUGCACCUCUGGUUGGUGCAGCUGUGCAGCGGGACGGGAUCUGCAGCCUGCAGUGGUCACCAGGAGACAACAUGCUGGCCAGUGGCUCCACAGAGGGUCUUCUCUGUAUAUGGGAUAGUGACGUCGCAGGGUUCACAAGGUCACGUCGGCCAAUAACUACAAUGAAACAUCCCUGCGCUGUAAAGGCGAUGGGAUGGUGUCCAUGGCAGAGGAAGAUGAUUGCUACAGGAGGAGGAUGGAAAGAUGGAGAGUUAAGGAUCUGGGACGCAGAUUCUGCAUCUUGUAUUAGUUCUGUAAACACUAACUCACAGAUCUGUUCUCUUCAAUGGGCUGAGAAGAAGAGAUGUCUGGUCACAGGUCACGGCCUUCCUCAUCACCAAGUCACCUGCUGGACCUGGGAGUUUCCCUCCCUCAGACCGACCUUCCAGCUCACAGGUUAGAGAACCUGGAACACAUUUAUGUGCAACUACAGGCCUUAAUCAUCUCUGUGAAUAACCUUCACUACAGCCUAGGGUUGUCCCGAUACCAGAAUUUUUAACUUCAAUAAAAUAUUUGUAAAGAUCUAAAUAAUAAAAAUAUUGACUAAAGUUUCGAUAGCACCCAAUAUGGGGUCAUUCUUUUUUCUUUUUUUUUCAACCAAAAAUGUCAAGCAAACUUUUUCACACGUCUAAGUUUCAAAAAUGUAUUGGCCAAUUUUCUGAUCCGGAACAUAUUUGCCAUUUAGACAGUUCUCGCUCUCUUUCAUUUAAGGGAUACAAAUAUGAAACUUAAAAUUGUGACAACCUCACUACAGCCUCAUGGCACAAAAUGAAUUGCAUCAUUGUUCAUAUAGCAGAAUAAGUGUGUCAGUUGGACCACAGCUACAGCUCUGCCUUCGUUUAUGACAAGGGUGUAAACCAUGACUGUGUGAUUACUCAUUUAUGUCCAGGCUUCAAAGUAAUUGUGAAACUAUGAGUUGAAACAAAACACAAGUCAAACAUUUGAAAUAAGAUUUCUCAAUUUCCUGAUGUAUUGGGAAUCGCUGUAGGCAUAAAUAACCAAUAUGUAAAAAUAAAUGUGUUCUGAAAUCCUUUUAAGAUUAUUUACAAAAAGGUUUGAGUUCAUAAAUCUUUAUCAUUUGUUAUGUAUUCAGUUAUAUAUUGCAGUUACUGUUGAUUUGAGCCGAAAGAUCAGGAUGACUUAGUAUUUAGAUUCACUUCAUCACACUGUUCAACAACAUUUUGUAUAUUUAUAUUUGUAAAUGUUGUUGAUAUUCAAUGCUUCUACAUAGCUUAUUAUUUCUUUAGAUAAUCUGCCCUUUGGUACUUAUCACUUAUAUGUAUUUUAUAUUUCCUACUUCUAUCCUAUUGUUUUUAAGAGCAACUAACGACCAACCAAUAAUUUCAAAUGUAUUAACUCCUAAAACCUUUCUUUAGAGUUGAGUGAAUGAGCAAUAUUGCAUUCAAAUUGAAAUGUAACAUUAAAAACAAAGAAAAACACCUUAUAGUCAGCUAAAGCAAGUCUUUCAAGGUAAGCACUAAUGUAAUAAUGAAUUGAAGUUGUUGAAACAUUAAUGCACUUUGUUUUAUAUGUUGGGAA
Molecule: RNA transcript, 2573 nt
Organism: Labrus mixtus (cuckoo wrasse)
Lineage: Eukaryota; Metazoa; Chordata; Actinopteri; Labriformes; Labridae
Gene name: cell division cycle protein 20 homolog B-like
Exons: 12
Source: RefSeq, a predicted model, not a curated record